RNAcentral lists this ribosomal RNA (253 nucleotides) under uncultured bacterium. RNAcentral's name for it is "partial 16S ribosomal RNA". It matches the Rfam family "Bacterial small subunit ribosomal RNA", at positions 524 to 776 of the family's 1533-position model. The record is from RNAcentral.
UACGUAGGGUGCAAGCGUUGUCCGGAAUUAUUGGGCGUAAAGAGCUCGUAGGUUGCCUGUCGCGUCGGCUGUGAAAACUCGGGGCUCAACUCCGAGCUUGCAGUCGAUACGGGCAGGCUAGAGUUCGGCAGGGGAGACUGGAAUUCCUGGUGUAGCGGUGAAAUGCGCAGAUAUCAGGAGGAACACCGGUGGCGAAGGCGGGUCUCUGGGCCGAUACUGACACUGAGGAGCGAAAGCGUGGGGAGCGAACAGG